AACGAACGCUGGCGGCAUGCCUAACACAUGCAAGUCGAACGAGAUCUUCGGGUCUAGUGGCGCACGGGUGCGUAACGCGUGGGAAUCUGCCCUUUGGUUCGGAGUAACAGUUGGAAACGACUGCUAAUACCGGAUGAUGACGAAAGUCCAAAGAUUUAUCGCCAGAGGAUGAGCCCGCGUAGGAUUAGCUAGUUGGUGUGGUAAAGGCGCACCAAGGCGACGAUCCUUAGCUGGUCUGAGAGGAUGAUCAGCCACACUGGGACUGAGACACGGCCCAGACUCCUACGGGAGGCAGCAGUGGGGAAUAUUGGACAAUGGGCGAAAGCCUGAUCCAGCAAUGCCGCGUGAGUGAUGAAGGCCUUAGGGUUGUAAAGCUCUUUUACCCGGGAUGAUAAUGACAGUACCGGGAGAAUAAGCUCCGGCUAACUCCGUGCCAGCAGCCGCGGUAA
This 449-nucleotide ribosomal RNA is filed under the name uncultured bacterium. RNAcentral describes it as "partial 16S ribosomal RNA". It matches the Rfam family "Bacterial small subunit ribosomal RNA", at positions 29 to 523 of the family's 1533-position model. The record is from RNAcentral.